This 465-nucleotide ribosomal RNA is filed under the name Vreelandella stevensii. RNAcentral describes it as "partial 16S ribosomal RNA". It matches the Rfam family "Bacterial small subunit ribosomal RNA", at positions 338 to 795 of the family's 1533-position model. The record is from RNAcentral. Lineage: Bacteria; Pseudomonadati; Pseudomonadota; Gammaproteobacteria; Oceanospirillales; Halomonadaceae.
CCUACGGGAGGCUGCAGUGGGGAAUAUUGGACAAUGGGGGGAACCCUGAUCCAGCCAUGCCGCGUGUGUGAAGAAGGCCCUCGGGUUGUAAAGCAUUUUCAGUGAGGAAGAACGCCUGGUGGUUAAUACCCAUCAGGAAAGACAUCACUCACAGAAGAAGCACCGGCUAACUCCGUGCCAGCAGCCGCGGUAAUACGGAGGGUGCGAGCGUUAAUCGGAAUUACUGGGCGUAAAGCGCGCGUAGGUGGCUUGAUAAGCCGGUUGUGAAAGCCCCGGGCUCAACCUGGGAACGGCAUCCGGAACUGUCAAGCUAGAGUGCAGGAGAGGAAGGUAGAAUUCCCGGUGUAGCGGUGAAAUGCGUAGAGAUCGGGAGGAAUACCAGUGGCGAAGGCGGCCUUCUGGACUGACACUGACACUGAGGUGCGAAAGCGUGGGUAGCAAACAGGAUUAGAUACCCUUGUAGUC